CCCUUAGAUGUCCUGGGCCGCACGCGCGUUACACUGAUGCAUUCAACGAGCUUAUAACCUUGGCCGAGAGGCCUGGGCAAUCUUGUUAACGUGUAUCGUGAUAGGGAUAGAUUAUUGAAAUUAUUAAUCUUGAACGAGGAAUUCCUAGUAAACGCAGAUCAUCAAUCUGCAUUGAUUACGUCCCUGCCCUUUGUACACACCGCCCGUCGCACCUACCGAUUGGAUGGUCCGGUGAAGCCUCGGGAUUGUGGUUCUUGCCGCUUUAUUGUAGCGUGACCGCGAGAACUUGUCUAAACCUUAUCAUCUAGAGGAAGGUGAAGUCGUAACA
This 328-nucleotide ribosomal RNA is filed under the name uncultured eukaryote. RNAcentral's name for it is "partial 18S ribosomal RNA". It matches the Rfam family "Eukaryotic small subunit ribosomal RNA", at positions 1470 to 1796 of the family's 1831-position model. The record is from RNAcentral.